RNAcentral lists this ribosomal RNA (254 nucleotides) under uncultured bacterium. Its description in RNAcentral is "partial 16S ribosomal RNA". It matches the Rfam family "Bacterial small subunit ribosomal RNA", at positions 524 to 776 of the family's 1533-position model. The record is from RNAcentral.
GACGUAGGGUGCGAGCGUUGUCCGGAUUUAUUGGGCGUAAAGAGCUCGUAGGCGGCUCGUCGCGUCUGCCGUGAAAACCCGCAGCUCAACUGCGGGCUUGCGGUUGAUACGGGCGGGCUGGAGUUCGGUAGGGGAGACGUGGAAUUCCUGGUGUAGCGGUGAAAUGCGCAGAUAUCAGGAGGAACACCGAUGGCGAAGGCAGGUCUCUGGGCCACUACUGACGCUGAGAAGCGAAAGCGUGGGGAGCGAACAGG